This 492-nucleotide ribosomal RNA is filed under the name uncultured bacterium. Its description in RNAcentral is "partial 16S ribosomal RNA". It matches the Rfam family "Bacterial small subunit ribosomal RNA", at positions 29 to 507 of the family's 1533-position model. The record is from RNAcentral.
AGUGAACGCUGGCGGUAGGCCUAACACAUGCCAGUCGAACGGCAGCACAGUAAGAGCUUGCUCUUACGGGUGGCGAGUGGCGGACGGGUGAGGAAUACAUCGGAAUCUACUUUUUCGUGGGGGAUAACGUAGGGAAACUUACGCUAAUACCGCAUACGACCUACGGGUGAAAGCAGGGGAUCUUCGGACCUUGCGCGAUUGAAUGAGCCGAUGUCGGAUUAGCUAGUUGGUGGGGUAAAGGCCCACCAAGGCGACGAUCCGUAGCUGGUCUGAGAGGAUGAUCAGCCACACGGGAAAUGAGAGACGGUCCAGACUCCUACGGGAGGCAGGAGUGGGGAAUAUUGGACAAUGGGCGCAAGCCUGAUCCAGCCAUAACGCGUGGGUGAAGAAGGCCUUCGGGUUGUAAAGCCCUUUUGUUGGGAAAGAAAAGCAGCAGGUUAAUACCCCGCUGUUCUGACGGUACCCAAAGAAUAAGCACCGGCUAACUUCGUG